UACGGGGGGGGUAAGCGUUGUUCGGAAUUCCUGGGCGUAAAGGGCUCGUAGGCGGCCCACUAAGUCAUACGUGAAAUCCCUCAGCUUAACUGGGGAACUGCGUGUGAUACUGGAUGGCUUGGAUUUGGGAGAGGGAUGCGGAAUUCCAGGUGUAGCGGUGAAAUGCGUAGAUAUCUGGAGGAACACCGGUGGCGAAGGCGGCAUCCUGGACCAAUAUUGACGCUGAGGAGCGAAAGCCAGGGGAGCAAACGGG
Molecule: ribosomal RNA, 253 nt
Filed under: uncultured bacterium
Lineage: Bacteria
Description: partial 16S ribosomal RNA
Rfam family: Bacterial small subunit ribosomal RNA
Source: RNAcentral